GGGAGUUUGGCCGAGUGGUUAAGGCGCUGUGUUUAGGUCAUAGAUUCUGCUUUAUGCUGAUUUAUACCAUAAAUCCCGCAGUGGGAAACCGCGCAGGUUCGAAUCCUGCAGCUCUCA
This 117-nucleotide transfer RNA is filed under the name Xylaria sp. FL1777. RNAcentral's name for it is "tRNA-Leu". It matches the Rfam family "tRNA". From Rfam's summary of the family: Transfer RNA (tRNA) molecules are approximately 80 nucleotides in length. Their secondary structure includes four short double-helical elements and three loops (D, anti-codon, and T loops). The record is from RNAcentral. Lineage: Eukaryota; Fungi; Ascomycota; Sordariomycetes; Xylariales; Xylariaceae.